GAGUUGAUCCUGGCUCAGGACGAACGUGGCGGUGUGUCUAAGGCAUGCAAGUCGAACGAGAUCGCUUUCUUCGGAAAGCAUUAUAUCUAGUGGCAGACGGCUGAGUAACGCGUAAGUAACUUACCCUAGAGUGGGGAAUAACACAGAGAAAUCUGUGCUAUACCGCAUACGAUUUAUUGAUAAUUUCUAUAAAUGAAAGAUUUAUCGCUCUUGGAUGGGCUUGCGUCCUAUCAGGUAGUAGGCGGGGUAAUGGCCCACCAAGCCUAAGACGGGUAGCUGGUGUGAGAGCACGACCAGCCAGAGGGGGACUGAGACACGGCCCCCACUCCUACGGGAGGCAGCAGCUAAGAAUAUUGCACAAUGGACGAAAGUCUGAUGCAGCGACACCGCGUGAGGGAUGAAGGUUUUAGGAUUGUAAACCUCUUUUAUUAGGGAAUAGCAAGGAAGGUACCUAAUGAAUAAGCUACGGCUAACUACGUGCCAGCAGCCGCGGUAAUACGUAGGUAGCGAACGUUGUCCGGAAUCACUGGGCGUAAAGGGUCCGUAGGCGGUUUGAUAAGUCUCAUAUGAAAACUUCAAGCUCAACUUGGAGAGGUUGUGAGAUACUGUCAAACUAGAGACUGUUAAAGGUAAGUGGAAUUCCAGGUGUAGUGGUGACAUGCGUAGAUAUCGGAGGAACACAGUGGCGAA
This 690-nucleotide ribosomal RNA is filed under the name uncultured bacterium. RNAcentral describes it as "bacterial SSU rRNA". It matches the Rfam family "Bacterial small subunit ribosomal RNA", at positions 9 to 719 of the family's 1533-position model. The record is from RNAcentral.